GACGAACGCUGGCGGCGUGCCUAACACAUGCAAGUCGAACGGGGUUAAGAGCUUCGGUUUUUAACUUAGUGGCGAACGGGUGAGUAACGCGUGAGGAACCUGCCUUUCAGUGGGGGACAACAGUUGGAAACGACUGCUAAUACCGCAUAAUGUACUUUUGGGGCAUCCCUGAGGUACCAAAGAUUUAUUGCUGAAAGAUGGUCUCGCGUCUGAUUAGCUAGUUGGUGAGGUAACGGCCCACCAAGGCGACGAUCAGUAGCCGGUCUGAGAGGAUGAACGGCCACAUUGGGACUGAGAUACGGCCCAGACUCCUACGGGAGGCAGCAGUGGGGAAUAUUGGGCAAUGGGGGAAACCCUGACCCAGCAACGCCGCGUGAAGGAAGAAGGCCUUCGGGUUGUAAACUUCUUUUACCAGGGACGAAGAACGUGACGGUACCUGGAGAAAAAGCAACGGCUAACUACGUG
RNAcentral lists this ribosomal RNA (465 nucleotides) under uncultured bacterium. RNAcentral's name for it is "bacterial SSU rRNA". It matches the Rfam family "Bacterial small subunit ribosomal RNA", at positions 28 to 507 of the family's 1533-position model. The record is from RNAcentral.